Non-coding RNA from Cinara cedri, 612 nucleotides. The record is from the annotation of a GenBank genome assembly. Lineage: Eukaryota; Metazoa; Arthropoda; Insecta; Hemiptera; Aphididae.
AUCUACAUCAAGUUUACCCUAAUUAAUAAUAAUAAUAAAAAGGCGUAUUCCGCACGAUGGAUGGGGCCACUAUUUUUGGCGAUGAGAAGUUGGAAAGAUGAGAUAUAAAUGGGAAUUUAAUGUGCAAUUGUAUGCAACGGAUAAUCAUUGUUUACAAAAACCGAUUUGAGCAGAGUUUUGGUCGUACGUCAUGUUCAAUAUAUUUACAAUUUCCCUCAAAAUAUUUUCCAGAAAAAAUUCGUUGUAAAACCAAUACAUUCCUCAUUCCGCUCAGAGUCUAAAAGUGCAUUUGUUUAACAAACAAUUUAAAAUCUAAUCAUCCUAAAAUGUCUCUUCCGUGUUUCAAUAAAAUAAUAUAACAUACAAUUUAUUGUAAAUUAAACUUUGAUUGGAUAAUAUAGUUCACGACUCUACGUAGAUAUUCUAUAAAAUAAUUAAUCACUUUACAUAACGCUUAGUCAAUAUAAGAAUAGAAUUUUAAAAUAUGUUAUUAUGUGUAUUGCCAAACGGCAUUAUUCUUAAUGUUCAGGCCUAAUGAAUAAUACUUGGAUAAUAAUACUGGGAUUGUCGAUACUAUAUACAGGGUGAUCAACAUAACGUAAGACACUCAUU